This is a long non-coding RNA of Gallus gallus (chicken), 1585 nucleotides long. The record is from Ensembl. NCBI's taxonomy places the organism in Eukaryota, Metazoa, Chordata, Aves, Galliformes, Phasianidae.
CCUCCCUUUGGAGUUUUCUACUGCAAGCCUAGAACACAGAGGACGGUGGUCUUGAUUAUGAUUCCCCUGGGGUGACUGCCUUUAUCAAUCAUGUUGUUGCCUGAAGAUGCACAUAGAGAUGCUCCUCAGUACAGCAGCAUGUCCUGAAGGAGCGUCCUGGUAAUUUCUAGGUGCCAAAUAUUUAAGUUCAGAUCUGCAAGUUUUAAACUCUGAAUGGAAGAUUAAUGUGUCAUAUACGAAUACCACCUUAUAUAAUAAUUUUCAUUGUUUGAAGAAUUUUUAUAAAUAUUAAGAACAUAACCCAUAGUAGUAUCUCUGUGGAUAUUGCCCUUCUGUAUGCUGAGAAGAGAUGUAUGGGAGUUCCUUAUUAGAGGCUUUCACCCAAAGAAUGGAAAAUUGAAGUAAAAAGAGACAGAUGGAUCAAGGUGGAACACUGCUUAUUUCCAUGUAAGAUGAAAUGGACUGGCCAAGGAAGGGUAAAGGGGGAGGAAACUGAAGAGGACAUGAGAUAAAGAGAUGAGGGUUUGCAGCAUGGUAGUGGCAUUGGAGUACAACAGGUCAAUCUAUCUACAUCAAGCCAAUGAAAGGGAAAAGCAGACAGAAUAAACUGAUUUUCAUUUCUUAUGGUGUGUUAUGGCAGGAAUUCUACAAAAACAGACAUUGUGCUUUCGUGGCUUGCAGUUAAAUGAAAAGACAACCCAGUGUUUCUGAGAAAAUGAGCCAUGUUCUAGAGUUGGAUUUUUGCCUACAUCUUUUUGCCUUUUGUAGUGAAGGAGCUGUGUGUCACCUGCUUCUGUCCCAUUAGGCCCUGUCCCUCCUGACUACUAUUAUGAUCAGAACAGCCAUUCUCAAAGUUUCCCUCUCAGAGGCUCAAAAUGCACAUUUGGGCUGUGAUUCACCUGCGGCAGUAGAAUAUCCCAAGGGCUGGUGAUCCCACUUCUGAAUGCAACCUUUCUUACAGCAUGUGGACAGUAAUUGAAGAUCUGCUGAUGUACAACAUGCACAAGAGCUGGACUGAUGUACUAGAAGCUGGAACUGAAGCAAGUGUAGAAGACUCUUCUUCUCCUUCGAAUUCUUUUGGAAAGAACCCAACAUUUGACUGUCUCCUUUUAUGGAGGUAUGAUGAGCUUACGGAGCUGUGAGCACUGAACGUGGGAACUUGGACUGCUAUUCUGAGCACAUUUCAGAAAACUCUGUUGCGUCCCAUUACGUGCCUGUCUUUGAUCUCAAAUUGAAAAUCUCGGAGCCUCUUCCUCCAAUCCAAAAGCAAAUAAAUAGUGAAAGAAAGAAACCUCUCUCCUCUCAGCACGUAGGGCCUCCACGGCUGAAAAAUGAAGGUGACAGUAAUAGCUCUGAUGAACCUGUUUGGACAACAGACAGCAACAAAUACCUGUCUCUGUGGAGGAGUUUAAGAGCACUGCAGAGAUCCUCAGACAGUGCAGAGCCUCUUGGCUUACACAGGCCACUGUCUUUCUCUCCAAACAAUACCAGCCAAGCUUCCUCUGUACCUACAACUGAAGAGCUGCGGGAACAGGACAGUAACUAAUACAGCUUUCAAAUUUGAAUCUCCUGGUCUUAUUAAAAA